This 468-nucleotide ribosomal RNA is filed under the name uncultured bacterium. RNAcentral's name for it is "partial 16S ribosomal RNA". It matches the Rfam family "Bacterial small subunit ribosomal RNA", at positions 28 to 507 of the family's 1533-position model. The record is from RNAcentral.
GACGAACGCUGGCGGCGUGCUUAACACAUGCAAGUCGAACGGAAAGGCCCUGCUUUUGUGGGGUGCUCGAGUGGCGAACGGGUGAGUAACACGUGAGUAACCUGCCCUUGACUUUGGGAUAACUUCAGGAAACUGGGGCUAAUACCGGAUAGGAGCUCCUGCUGCAUGGUGGGGGUUGGAAAGUUUCGGCGGUGGGGGAUGGACUCGCGGCUUAUCAGCUUGUUGGUGGGGUAGUGGCUUACCAAGGCUUUGACGGGUAGCCGGCCUGAGAGGGUGACCGGCCACAUUGGGACUGCGGUACGGCCCAGACUCCUACGGGAGGCAGCAGGCGGGAAUAUUGCACAAUGGGCGGAAGCCUGAUGCAGCAACGCCCCGUGCGGGAUGACGGCCUUCGGGUUGUAAACCGCUUUCGCCUGUGACGAAGCGUGAGUGACGGUAAUGGGUAAAGAAGCACCGGCUAACUACGUG